GAACGCGAAAGUCCCGCAAGGGAUCAGUAGAGUGGCAAACGGGUGAGUAACGCGUGGGUGACCUGCCUUCGAGCGGGGGAUAACGUUCCGAAAGGGACGCUAAUACCGCAUAACAUCCUGCCUUUUAAGAGGUGGAGAUCAAAGCCUGGGACCGCAAGGCCAGGCACUCGAAGAGGGGCCCGCGUCCGAUUAGCUAGUUGGUGGGGUAAUGGCUCACCAAGGCUCCGAUCGGUAUCCGGCCUGAGAGGGCGGACGGACACACUGGGACUGAGACACGGCCCAGACUCCUACGGGAGGCAGCAGUGGGGAAUUGUUCGCAAUGGGCGCAAGCCUGACGACGCAACGCCGCGUGGAGGAUGAAGAUCUUCGGGUCGUAAACUCCUUUCGAUCGAGACGAACGACCUCUGGAUGAACAGUCCAGGGGAGUGACGGUACCGAGAGAAGAAGCCCCGGCUAACUCCGUG
This 464-nucleotide ribosomal RNA is filed under the name uncultured bacterium. RNAcentral's name for it is "bacterial SSU rRNA". It matches the Rfam family "Bacterial small subunit ribosomal RNA", at positions 64 to 507 of the family's 1533-position model. The record is from RNAcentral.